UGGGGAAUAUUGCGCAAUGGGCGAAAGCCUGACGCAGCGACGCCGCGUGAGGGAUGAAGGUUUUCGGAUCGUAAACCUCUGUCAGAAGGGAAGAAACCGCACUGUGCUAAUCAGCAGUGCCUUGACGGUACCUUCAAAGGAAGCACCGGCUAACUCCGUGCCAGCAGCCGCGGUAAUACGGAGGGUGCAAGCGUUAAUCGGAAUUACUGGGCGUAAAGCGCACGUAGGCUGCUUUGUAAGUCAGGGGUGAAAUCCCACGGCUCAACCGUGAAACUGCCUUUGAUACUGCUUAGCUUGAAUCCGGGAGAGGGUGGCAGAAUUCCAGGUGUAGGAGUGAAAUCCGUAGAUAUCUGGAGGAACAUCAGUGGCGAAGGCGGCCACCUGGACCGGUAUUGACGCUGAGGUGCGAAAGCGUGGGGAGCAAACAGG
This 429-nucleotide ribosomal RNA is filed under the name Fusobacteriota bacterium. RNAcentral describes it as "Fusobacteria bacterium partial 16S ribosomal RNA". It matches the Rfam family "Bacterial small subunit ribosomal RNA", at positions 355 to 776 of the family's 1533-position model. The record is from RNAcentral. Lineage: Bacteria; Fusobacteriati; Fusobacteriota.